UGGAGAGUUUGAGACAGACACAAGAAAGAAUAUCUCCACACAGUGAAAUUGUGGAAUCUUCUCCCACAAGAGCUAGCGACUAAAGGGGUGUUAGACAAAUUCAUAGAUGAUAAGGCUAUCAAUGCCUAAUAGCCAUAAUAUUCUACCUGAACUGUCAGAGGCAGCAUGUGUCUGAAUACUAUUUGCUGGGAAUUGCAACAAAUUCUGAUGAGGGCUUUUUCGAAGAAAAAAUGCAAACAAUGCACAACUGAAGAUGUGGAAAAAGUAAGAAACCGAGCAGAAAGUGGACAGGUUUGUCCAUUCCUAUGUCAGACUAGCAUUUAUAAGUACCUAGAUAAGCACACCAGCUCUCACAGAAAUAUCCCCUAAAGUCUGAUCAGCUAGAAUUCUUUCUUUGUACAUAUGAAAUUUUUCAGGACUCCUUUUUUUUUUUUAGCAUCCAGGCUUUCUGGUCGCUUCCAGUAGAAUAGCACCCAACCUAUUUGAUGAAUAAGGAGGAGAAAACAUGGAAGGAAUGAACCCACUACAUUUUAUUGACAUUGUUUUCUGCUCCCUUUCCCAUAAGAAACCUGUCAAAGUCUUCUACAACUUCAGGUGAAGGAACCUCCUCAGAUCCCCAGCAAUAAAAGUGAAUGGAAUAUCCUCAUGAUUAAAAUUUCAUGGUGG
Non-coding RNA from Podarcis lilfordi (Lilford's wall lizard), 666 nucleotides. NCBI's taxonomy places the organism in Eukaryota, Metazoa, Chordata, Lepidosauria, Squamata, Lacertidae. The record is from the annotation of a GenBank genome assembly.